Salvia splendens (bonfire salvia) is the source of this 1766-nucleotide RNA transcript. RefSeq lists it as uncharacterized. Lineage: Eukaryota; Viridiplantae; Streptophyta; Magnoliopsida; Lamiales; Lamiaceae. The record is from RefSeq and is a predicted model, not a curated record. The transcript is spliced from 3 exons.
CCCUCUCUAAAACUCUCGCUGCAAAAUCUGCUACUCUCUAAAACUCUCGCUGCAAAAUAUGCUAAUCUUCAUACAAUUCAUACAAUUCUGCAUUCGAAAAUAUUCAAUCAAACAUUGUUAUUCAUCUCCAAACCGUAGACCUUCAACACUGUUUUCUACAAUGAAGAUUGAAGACCAAAUUCGAAGAGAAUUAGCUGAAGCGCCGAUUGUAGCUGAAUCGGUUGAAGCGCCGAUCGAAGAAAAUCGGCGUUCCACAUCAGCGGUGGUUCCGACUUCUUCAGGUUCAACAAUUGAUUCAAAUUUUAAGUAUAUUGUUUCGAUUUUAGUGUAUUAAAACAACUCUGGAUUUGUUUUCUUAUGAAUUCGAUUUCUGCUGAAUUUUUUUGUUGAUUAGCCAGGGUAGAAUCGCAAUUGGAAGCAUCAUCUUCCAGUUAAGGAUUUAUUUAAAUUUUUAAGAUUAUUGACAUUUCAAACAAUAGCUAUUGACAUAGCUAUAAUAACAGUAUAUGCUUGUUUGAAUAGUUGUUAGGAUGAUUGUAGAUUGAACAAGAAAGAGUUAUUGAUAUAGAUUUAUUGUGUUUCAUUUCAUACAAUAGCUAUUGACAUAGCUAUAAAACAGAGUAUAUGCUUGUUUGAACAGAGUAUAUGAUUUGUUUGACAUGGCUAUUGACAUAGCUAUUGACAUAACUAUAAUUGAGAUGCUUCGACAGCAAAGAAGAAUUUCAUUUCUCAGAUAGAUAAUGAGAUUCAAAGAAGACCAGAUUUCAACUGGAGAGAAAUUGAUUUGGUCUUCUUCCCAGUUCGUGCAAAUUUCCAUUACUAUCUUGUAGUAUAUUGGAUGAAGAAAAAACCAUUGAGAUAAUAGAUAACAGCAAGCCACAUAAAAAUAUGGAUCCGUUCGAGAAGUAUGACAUUGAUAUUGGUUUAAUGGUGAGGUCAUGAACUGCUAGUAAUCAUGGAGAGCAAGAACUACCAAGCAAGCCACUAUGCCACUCAGGGCGAUGAGCAGACGUUGCUCCAGCGUAUGCAUCAAGAGCUUUACAAUCUCAAGUUUCUAAUCGUCGUGGAUGAUAAUACUUGGGAUCGGAUCGCGCACGCCUUGCCAGAUAAGGAGAACGACAACCGGAGAACGACAUUUGGAUUCUUCUCACCACUAGGCUUCGGGAGGUCACUGAUAAAAAUUAUGAAAAAUCUAGUUUACUUCAUGAGAUGCAGCCGCUCGGGCUGGAGCACAACUGACAGUUCCUUUGUUAUCUUACCUUCGGUGAUAUGCUGAAAAAUGAUAAUGAUGAUGUUACAUUGCUCUGCCCUCCUCACUUGAAGGAAAUUGAAAGAUCAAUCACCGAGAAAUGUAAAGGUCUUCCUCUGUCACUGGUUGUGGUUGGUGGUCUUCUCAUUCAGGAGACAUAAAAGAUUGAUUUCUGGAAAAUGAUAGAAGAAGAUACUGCUGCAAUGGGGGAGGGUUCCAACUUGGAGAUCUUGGCUCUCAGCUACCUUUACUUGCCCGCUAGACUUCAAGGUUGUUUCCUUUACCUGGGUGCAUUCCCGGAAGAUUGUGAGAUACGUUCCUCUAAACUCAUCAAACUUUGGGUUGGUGAAGGCUUCUUCCUAAAACCUGCACUACCCACACAAACCAUGGACAACUAUUGUCGUUUCUGACUUUUGAACUUAGCAGUAUGUAAUAUAUAUGAAAUGUCAAUCAGUUCAACAACUUGUAUUGAAAUGUCAACAACGCAAAAACAAUUCUUAUAAUUAAAAAAGAACAA